GAUGAACGCUGGCGGCGUGCCUAAUACAUGCAAGUCGAGCGAACAGACGAGGAGCUUGCUCCUCUGACGUUAGCGGCGGACGGGUGAGUAACACGUGGAUAACCUACCUAUAAGACUGGGAUAACUUCGGGAAACCGGAGCUAAUACCGGAUAAUAUAUUGAACCGCAUGGUUCAAUAGUGAAAGACGGUUUUGCUGUCACUUAUAGAUGGAUCCGCGCCGCAUUAGCUAGUUGGUAAGGUAACGGCUUACCAAGGCGACGAUGCUAAGCCGACCUGAGAGGGUGAUCGGCCACACUGGAACUGAGACACGGUCCAGACUCCUACGGGAGGCAGCAGUAGGGAAUCUUCCGCAAUGGGCGAAAGCCUGACGGAGCAACGCCGCGUGAGUGAUGAAGGUCUUCGGAUCGUAAAACUCUGUUAUUAGGGAAGAACAAAUGUGUAAGUAACUAUGCACGUCUUGACGGUACCUAAUCAGAAAGCCACGGCUAACUACGUG
This 497-nucleotide ribosomal RNA is filed under the name uncultured bacterium. RNAcentral describes it as "partial 16S ribosomal RNA". It matches the Rfam family "Bacterial small subunit ribosomal RNA", at positions 28 to 507 of the family's 1533-position model. The record is from RNAcentral.